This 301-nucleotide ribosomal RNA is filed under the name uncultured bacterium. RNAcentral describes it as "partial 16S ribosomal RNA". It matches the Rfam family "Bacterial small subunit ribosomal RNA", at positions 509 to 807 of the family's 1533-position model. The record is from RNAcentral.
CAGCAGCCGCGGUAAUACAGAGGGUGCAAGCGUUAAUCGGAAUUACUGGGCGUAAAGCGCGCGUAGGUGGUUUGUUAAGUUGGAUGUGAAAUCCCCGGGCUCAACCUGGGAACUGCAUCCAAAACUGGCAAGCUAGAGUAUGGUAGAGGGUGGUGGAAUUUCCUGUGUAGCGGUGAAAUGCGUAGAUAUAGGAAGGAACACCAGUGGCGAAGGCGACCACCUGGACUGAUACUGACACUGAGGUGCGAAAGCGUGGGGAGCAAACAGGAUUAGAUACCCGUGUAGUCCCUGUCUCUUAUAC